Molecule: ribosomal RNA, 253 nt
Filed under: uncultured bacterium
Lineage: Bacteria
Description: partial 16S ribosomal RNA
Rfam family: Bacterial small subunit ribosomal RNA
Source: RNAcentral
UACGUAGGGGGCAAGCGUUGUCCGGAAUCAUUGGGCGUAAAGAGCGUGUAGGCGGCUUGGUAAGUCCGCUGUGAAAGUCCAGGGCUCAACCCUGGAAUGCCGGUGGAAACUGUCAAGCUUGAGUCCGGAAGAGGCGAGUGGAAUUCCUGGUGUAGCGGUGAAAUGCGCAGAUAUCAGGAGGAACACCAAUGGUGAAGGCAGCUCGCUGGGACGGUACUGACGCUGAGACGCGAAAGCGUGGGGAGCAAACAGG